UGGAGAGGAGGUUGUGGCGUGACCACACUGGGUGCUUGCUCCUCCCUUGCUAUACCUCAGUCUCUCUGCGAGUGAGUGCGUGUGACCUCUGACAAUCGAAAGCAAAUCUAGGAGUCCCUAGGCCAGAGGCCUCCCAGAAGAACUCGAGGAGGAGCCUCCCCAAGCAGGCAAGAUGCUCUGAAUCAUCCCGGCUGCCAGCCCUGUCUAGUCCAAUCGCAGCUCAGAACCUGGCUGGAGACCACAAACGACGCACUAGCAGAGACCGCAGAUCUGUCCGAAUCUACACAUAGAUUUCCAGGACAGAAGUUCGCGUGGCAGACCCAAACAUUCCUUCUAAGGAACAGGGAAGCAAGCAAACCUAUGAUUCCUUGCCCUCCAUGUUUCGGAGCCAGUGACGGAGAGCGCGAGAGAGCCCUCCAACAGCGUCCUCAAGCCACAAUCCACCCCCGGCCUCAGGCAGCCUGGUCAUGGAGCACGUGUGACUGGCAUGUCAGGAAAGGCCUCGGGAAUAGAACCCAGGACCCUCCCGUGUAUGGUCUCUGUGUCUCUGGCUGCCCCUCUGCCGUGCUCUCAUCCAGGGAUCACUUCCAUACUGCCACCCCCUCACUCUGAGGACCCUCGCAUUCUGCUGCCCACACCCGGCCCUGCACGCCCCCAGCCUCUGCGUGCUCAGCUGCCUCCUCCUCUCUGGAGGCUGCACAGCUGCCUGACCAAUGUCUGCACCCCAAGAAGCAGGCGUGUCGGGGAGAAGAGAUGACUUUGCCGUGGCCCACCUUGUGCCCCAAAGGCCAGCCCAGUCUGUCCCACGAAGGCAUGGAACCCAUCAUACAGCACAGCCUGCCGAAGCCGUGUGAGUGCAUGUGCGUGCAGCCAGCUGUGGACCGAUGGAGGCUCCAACCCCCCACCCCACAAAUCGCUCGGCCCCUCCUCUAGCCUCCCAUCCGGGGCAGCUCUGGCCCAGACACCUGUGGUCAGAGGGGGCGGAAGGAAGGCUUCUGAGAAUCCCCGAGGAGGGCAUGUGGUCUGUGUCGGAGCCCCUGACGCUCGCUUGCCUGCCUGGUGCCUGGUGUUUGGAGGCUGACACGGGAACAUUGCUAGGUGACCGUAUUUUCCAGAGCUCAGAUUGAGACAGAUGGUCUGCCCAAAGAUGUUUUCCCGAUUUAGCGUUUGCUUAUGUAAAAGCCUUCCGAAAAGUGC
Molecule: long non-coding RNA, 1197 nt
Organism: Tupaia belangeri chinensis (Chinese tree shrew)
Lineage: Eukaryota; Metazoa; Chordata; Mammalia; Scandentia; Tupaiidae
Exons: 4
Source: RefSeq, a predicted model, not a curated record